This is a non-coding RNA of Rattus norvegicus (Norway rat), 3167 nucleotides long. The record is from RefSeq and is a predicted model, not a curated record. NCBI's taxonomy places the organism in Eukaryota, Metazoa, Chordata, Mammalia, Rodentia, Muridae.
UAGUCCCUCUCCUCCCCCAGCCCUAACCCCAGAGGGACCUGACCUGACUCCCUGAGCAUGAUAGACAGCUGAGAGGCUUCUCUGCAGCUUAGGAGCUGGGGACUCCAUUUGUCACCCUGGCUAGCUCUGUGCCCACACUGAAAAAGUCUCCUAGAGACAUAGUAUCUAUCAUCCCAAGAUGAGUACCGACACUGCUCCUGGAUGAGGCUGCCCCACUUGGAGCAGGUCACUGCCCACCUCUGGACUGGAAGGUGCUGAGAACUCAAGGACAGAAAGAAAACAGUCAAGGGUCACAGGGUCAUGCCAGACCCAGGUCUCCAAAUCCCAAGGUUGCCAGGACCAGAUGGGAAGUGGGAAGUAGAGAAGUGGCAGGGGCAGAGGUCACAGGGUAGCUGAAGGGCAUCCUGCCUGCAGCCUGGUGGACGUGAAGGCUGGGAGAGCAGGACUUUGUCACUAAGACCCUGUGCUUAGUCUUCCCCAUCCCCACCCCUUACCUACUCACAGCAUGCGGCCUGAGCCUGCUGAUUCCAGCAAGGAUGCUUCCAGGAGACUGAGGAGGGGCCUGACAUUACCAAUCACCUCUGGGGGAUGUGGGGGUGGCUUGGGCAGCAGCAUGGGCUGACACUGCCAUCUGUCCCUCCCUUCAUAGCAGUGCCCAGCAGGGCUCUGACUCAACCUUAGUUGCUCUCAGUCAUCUUUGGAGCUGAGUCAGUGGUUGGUUGGGUGAUGAGCCCUCUCACCCUGGAAGUGGGGCAUGAAAAAGAGGGGGGAGAGAGGGAGGAAAGGAAGGAGGAAGGGCAGGAGGGAUAAAGAAAGAGACAGACAGACAAAGAGACUGAGAGAGACAGAGACAGAGAGAGUAUGUUCCUGGGGGCUGUGUGAGAGGGACCCGGCUGCUCUGAUAUCUCUGAGCUACAUGAUCCUUGGCAGUUGCCUCUGUUCCUGAGGGCGGGGAUGGGCUGUUCUGCUAGGGAGAGCUCGUGUGGAGCACCUGGCUUGAGUACCUUAGGAGGCUCAGAAGACGUAGCUCUCCUCUGCACUAGCACAUGCAGAAGUAGGAGUGAAAAGGGAGUGUCUGGAUGCAGGGGUGGGGGUGGAGGGAGACACUGGCUCACCAGCACUCUGCUUUGUCUCCGGUCGGUAUCUCUCUUUGACUCUGAAUCCCUCUGUGUAUCUCUCUCUUCCUAUGGUCUUCUGUCCCUCAGAGCAGCAGUUUGCAUCUCUCAAAAAGGCCAGAGGACCAGGAGUUGCUUGUACAGGCGGCAUGAAAAAGACCAGCUGGGGAGGGGAGUUCCUUCAACGGGCCCAUGCCCUUUGCUGUCCUCCCUACAGGACCCCCAUCUUUGGGUCUGACCAGGCUGCAUCCUCACAGUCUAAUGGCAUCUUAACUCAGAUUUACAAGCCAACUUUCCCACCUCUGCAACGCUAAAGGCAUCAGAGAGAGCUAGCUCCUUCUGCAAGGUGUAGCCAGUGCUGAUCAGCAUGACCCGUGUGGACCUCCUAAGCUACAGACAGGAUCUUGUUGGCCUAGAAGUCACCAAGUAUGGCAGGCUGGCUGGCCAGGGAGGCUCAGGGAUCCAUCUUUCUCCACUUCCCAGUGCUGGGAUUGCAGCAACAGACAACAAAGUAAUAUGGAGGAGAAGAAUCUGAACUCUGGUGCCGACUUCCGGGUUUGGGUUCCAACUCUCUCAUGUACUAUUUGGCGUGAAACAGCUGCCUGAGCGGACCAUAGGCUUCUCUUUCACAAUGGAUAAAGAGGGCCUAGGAGGCCUCCCAAGCUCACAUAACGGGAUGCAGAAGACAGGUGCCACCCAGGACUGCCUCACUACGGACUUUCUGUUCCUGUUCCCAUGGCACACUGUCAGGAAGGACUCCAUCCCCAGCAAAGACCUGAGGAGGAAAAGUGUCUUUGUGUUCAGAGAAGAAAGCUGAAGUAUGGAGGUCUACUACUCCAAAGGUGGUGGAUUCUAGGGCUGGAGAAUACUGUGCUAUUCAAGUAAUGUCCUUAGAAAGUUCCGUGCUCCUGAGGUGGGCUGUUUAUCAUCAGGCUCCUCAGGACUCACCCAUCUCUUUCUUUACCUGUGUUCUUGGUGUUAUAUGGCUGACCAGCUUCUCCUUCCAGGAGUACAGCUGAUGUCCUGUGUCACCGAAGUCCCCAGAAGCCCUCAGCAUAGACAUGAACCCUUUUCAGAUCUGGCUCUGGUCGAAGGGCGUAGCUGGAAACAGACAUAGGAAGAUACCCCCUAUUCCCACCUUGUCACCCACAUUCACAUCAGACUCUAACAAGAAACCAACUCUAGUAAGUCACCAAGCUUUAGGAAGGCUUGUCACACAGAAGUCACUCUCUCUCUCUCUCUCUCUCUCUCUCUCUCUCUCUCUCUCUUUCUCUCUCUCUCUCACACACACACACACACACACACACACACACUCUCUCUUUCUCUCUCACACACACACAUACUCUCUCUUUCACACACACACACACACUCCCUCUCUCUCUCACACACACACACACUCUCCCUCUCUCCUCUCUCUCUCUCACACACACACAUACUCCCUCCCUCCCUCCCCCUCUCUCUCUCUUUUUCGCACACACACACACAUACUCUCCCUCUCUCUCUCUCUCACACACACGCACAUACUCCCUCCCUCUCUCUCUCUCUGUCUCUCUCUCUCUCACACACACACACACACUCACACACACACAUACUCUCUCUCUUUUUCACACACACACACUCCCUCUCUCUCUCUCUCACACACACACACACACACUCACACUCCCUCUCUCUCUGUCUCUCUCUCUCUCUCUCUCUCUCACACACACACACACACACACACACACACACACACACACACACUCACACACCCCACACACCACCCCACACCCCUCAGGGACAUUUGCCACAGGGAGCAAGUUUGUCCUAAAAGUUACUUCCCUUCCCUGUGAUUCUGGAAUCAUCUUCCAUGUUGUGGACAUCCAAAUGCUAGACCGAGUGCUCCAGUGGGCCUCCAUCCCAGGGACAGCUGGGGUCUCCUCUGGAAGUUGGAAUCAAUGGCCUCUCUUCCUUGGCUGGUGCAUUUGCUUCUCUGUCAUGUCACCAUCUUUCCUCCUUCCAUCCCUGAUGGUGGAAGCAGCUGCCAAGAUAAAUUGGGGCCUCGCUGCCAGAAAA